AACCCGUACUACCGAAUUUGUG
RNAcentral lists this microRNA (22 nucleotides) under Eisenia fetida (common brandling worm). RNAcentral's name for it is "Efe-Mir-10-P2g_5p (mature (guide))". The record is from RNAcentral. Lineage: Eukaryota; Metazoa; Annelida; Clitellata; Crassiclitellata; Lumbricidae.